AUUGAACGCUGGCGGCAUGCCUAACACAUGCAAGUCGAACGGUAGCAGGAGCUAGCUUGCUAGCUUGCUGACGAGUGGCGGACGGGUGAGUAAUGCGUAGGAAUCUGCCCUUAAGUGGGGGAUAGCCCGGAGAAAUCCGGAUUAAUACCGCAUGUGCUCUACGGAGCAAAGCGGGCCUCUGUUUCAAGCUCGCGCUUGAGGAUGAGCCUACGUCGGAUUAGCUAGUUGGUGGGGUAAAGGCCUACCAAGGCGACGAUCCGUAGCUGGUCUGAGAGGAUGACCAGCCACACUGGGACUGAGACACGGCCCAGACUCCUACGGGAGGCAGCAGUGGGGAAUAUUGGACAAUGGGCGAAAGCCUGAUCCAGCAAUGCCGCGUGUGUGAAGAAGGCCUGCGGGUUGUAAAAGCACUUUUGUCGGGAAAAGAAAAAUCACAGGGUUAAU
This 444-nucleotide ribosomal RNA is filed under the name uncultured bacterium. RNAcentral describes it as "bacterial SSU rRNA". It matches the Rfam family "Bacterial small subunit ribosomal RNA", at positions 30 to 465 of the family's 1533-position model. The record is from RNAcentral.